This 27666-nucleotide long non-coding RNA is filed under the name Nicotiana tabacum (common tobacco). RNAcentral's name for it is "long non-coding RNA (NTAB_LNC005128)". The record is from RNAcentral. Lineage: Eukaryota; Viridiplantae; Streptophyta; Magnoliopsida; Solanales; Solanaceae.
CCCAUGACCCUCAAAGCCUCUUAUUCCUUAACUCAUUUUUAUAUUCCCCUAAAGAGCCCUAGAACUCAUCCCGUAACAGAUCUCACAAUAGGUUAACCCCAAAUCUUUUCUUUCGAUUUCUACCAUUCGGAGGAUGAACGCAGCGAAUUUCAUUUUUCUCUCCGACUUCAGUAGUCAUUAGCACGUAUUCACUAGCCGAAUUCUAAAAGCACAAGGUCAGUGAUUACUCGUUGAUGACCACUGUUGGUCAGAGAAACCCUUGACCAAGCGUUUGUUUGCAUUUUCAAAAGGUAACCUCGAAAUCUUUGCUUUGUUUUUCGUUUUCGUUUAAACCCAUCUUGUGGUGUUUUUCAAUUUCUGUUAAAAUCGUCAAAAAAAUAAAUAAUUGCAUGUUCUCGUUUAAAGUUUAUAAUCUGUCCGGUUUCGCACCUUUAACUUGCAAAUAGUUAUAUAAAUUAUGUUUUGAUGUUUUGUUUAAUAGUUUGUUUCUAAUUUUCUUUGUUAUUAGAUUUUUUUUUUUUUGGUUUGGUUUAUUUUUGUUUAUUGUUUAGACCUCAAUCUUAGUUAAAUGAGUUUAGUUUUUUUAACCAGAGUUCAAGUUAGGAAUAAUUUAGAAUCAGUUGGUUAAAGAAGUUUUGAAAGGGCAUGGGUAAUUAUAAGGAAUAGGAAGGGUAAUUUUGUAUUUAAAAAUUAUGAAAUAUUUUCUGUUAUAAAUAAGAGAGAGAAGAGAACUGUCUCUGAAGGACAUAAAAUAAAAACGGUUUGGGAAUCUGGGGUAUAAGUGAACAAAAAUAAAGUUUAAAAGGUAUAACUGAAUUAGAAAAAUCAGGUUUGGUUGCCCUAAAAAUCUUGUUAUAAAAGGUCUCAUUCUCACCCAUUUUGGUGAGAAAAAACUUAGAAAAAAGGGUCAUACGGUUGCUAGCAAUUUAGGUUCCAAAUCUGAGUUUUAAUAGCUGCAAAAACACUCCAAAAAUAGAAAGAAAACAAUCAAGAAAGAGGGAUUAAAAGCUGAUUCUAACCUCUUUGGACUCUUGCAUCAUUUCUGGAUUCAAAAAGCUUGGUUUGAUUUGAAAGAUGUUGGUUUUACUGUUGCUGUCACUCUGUUGUUUAGAUGGGAUUUGGAUUGUUCUCAUGAUUUCUGCUGUUGAUCUGUUUUGAGCUCACUCAAUAGCUGUUUUCCUUGGCCUUUAUUUGGCAAAAGUUCAGCUUGAUUUACAAGUUUAGGUACAUACCUCUCACUCGUAUUUUGUUCUGAUUUUGUAAAUUUUACCUCUUACCAUUUAAUUGAAGGAAAUUUACGAUUUUAAAAAUACUAAAAUGAGUAAUUAAGUUAAACUUUUAUUGUUGGCUUGCGUGACAGUGGUGUUAGGCGCCAUCACGACCUUUAAUGGAUUUUUGGUCGUGACACCCUAUGUCUAAAAUAAAAUCAAUUAAGGGGUGAAGACCCUAUGUUAGAAAAGUGACUAGGGAGUGAAGACCCUAUGUCAGAAAAUUAAAUCAACUAGGGAGUGUAGACCCUAUGUCAGNNNNNNNNNNNNNNNNNNNNNNNNNNNNNNNNNNNNNNNNNNNNNNNNNNNNNNNNNNNNNNNNNNNNNNNNNNNNNNNNNNNNNNNNNNNNNNNNNNNNNNNNNNNNNNNNNNNNNNNNNNNNNNNNNNNNNNNNNNNNNNNNNNNNNNNNNNNNNNNNUGGAAAAGAGACUAGGGAGUGGAGACCCUAUGUUGGAAAAGAGACUAGGGAGUGGAGAUCCUAUGUUGGAAAAGAGACUAGGAAGUGGAGACCCUAUGUCUAAAAUAAAAUCAACUAGGGAGUGGAGACCCUAUGUUGAAAAACGCAGCUAGGGAUUGGAAACCCUAUACUACCAUGAUUUUGAACUUUUUUUUUUUACUAAGAGAAUGAGUAAAAUGCGGGAAAGAAUUUGGAAAAGACUUCCCUUUCAGAGUUGUUGCUGCUGCAGAGCUGUUUCUAGCCCCCGCAAUUUCUUUUUGGUUGCACCUGCUUCUUGCAAGGUUGCUUUUGGAUUGCACACGUUUCCUAUUUUUCAAACAAAGAACAAUUGUUAGUUUGAAACAAUGGUUGAUUUUGUGGCAUUGAGUGUUUCGGUCACUUGAUCUCGGUCCGGCUUCUUUGAUGAUGAUUUCAAAUGCAACUGGUUGUUUCCUGGAUACCGAUUGCAUUUCUGACCCUGGAGAACCUUUGGCUUUUUUGAAACUCUACCAUGACGAUUGGUCAUGUGGGACUUAACCUUUUCCAACUUUAUUUUGCCUUUGUAGGCCUUUGACUUCUUUCUCCCAAUUUUAAAUUCAGAGCAACGGGGAAUCCUUGGCUUUUCAAACCUUGCCACGACGGUUAGUCGCGUGGGACUCAACCUUUUCAACUUCAUUUUUGCUCUUGUAGGCACUUCAAUUUGAUUUCCUUCUUUCGAGAGUUUUCAAUUUCAAAACAUCAGCUACCAUGCCCAGUCGGGGUCAACUUGAUAUCCCUGGCGAGGUUGGGUACCUUUUUGCAUAUUAGCUUGUAUCAAAUAAGAACCCUGUAAAUCCGUCUUACCAUCCCUUCUUCGUCUUAGUUUCGGAACAGAGUUAGACCGAAAGGGAUUCAAAGAAAAACAAACAAUGGAAUGGACAAUGAAUUUAAACAAGAGGUAUCCCUUUCGGGGAAAGGAAAGAAGGACUUAUUUGGAGUACAUGCGGACUUCAAUGAACAUGACAUGCCUUUUGGACUGGAUGCCUGAUCUAUGUAAACCGUCCGACUCUCAUAAAUUCAUCACAACUUUUGCCUCGAAACCGAGAAACCUUGCCACGGACUGUGUCGAUGCCAAUGGCUGUGAGGAACCUCUUUUCGAUCAGUGGCGUCCUUUGCGGAUUUUCACUAGCUGACCUAUCUCAUUUCUCUUCUCACCGUCGCCUUAUAAUGCGCCUUGCAAGUUUUCACUAACAAGACUCUCAUUUUAAUUUCUCUACUUACCAUCGCCUUACGGUGCCCGCGAGGGUUUUCACCAAUAAGACUCUCUUAUUGUAUUUCUCUUAUUUUAGUUGCAUCAGAUCCAAGUAACUGUAUCCUUCAAUUUUGAACAUCUUUGCCGAUUAAUCGGAAGGACUUGAAAAGGAUUUGGGUAAAACGAAUUUGGAUUGAAUUACAACUUUGGAACCUUUCAGGCGAAACUAUCGCCGAACAUUUAUAACAUCUGCCCUAGUUUCAACUUUUGGGGGAAUGUGAAUUUUUAUUUUGGUGUGACUGAAUCCCAGAAAGAGGCUGCCUACGUAUCCUUUCGGAAUCAAGUCGAACGUAGUUCAAGGAACUUUGUUUUUGAGUUCUUUUGUUUUUCUUUUCUUUGUUUCUUUUUUGUUUUCAUUUUUCUUUUUCUUUUUUUCUUUUUUUUUUUUAAUUUUUUUUUAUAUACAACUUCCAGGUUCCAAAGAGGGUAAUCAAAGAAAGGGAACCGGCUCGACGGGUUUGCAAAGGGCUGGUAAUGUUUGGAUAGCGAGAAGGAAAGCCUUCGUCAUCCUAAUCAGAGCAUGUUAAAGCUGUAAAACGGGUUAAACGUAGUACUUUUUGACUGCGUCUACAUUGACAGAUGUCUCGGGGUCAUUUCUUUCGAUGUUUCCCAAAUACAACGCUCAAUUUGGCAAUACUCUUCUUAUAAUGUAUGGACCUUUCCAAUUUGGAGCAAAUUUUCCUUUGGCUUCUUCAUGAUGCGGGAGAAUACGUCUCAGAACGAGUUGCCGUGCACUUUCUUGUUGUAGGCACGGGUCAUUCUUUGUUGGUACAGCUGCCCGUGGCAAACUGCGGCCAUCCGCUUUUAAUCAAUCAUAGACAACUGUUCUAAUCGGGUUUUGACCCAUUCAUCAUCCUCGAUCUCGGCUUCAACAAUUAUCUGAAGAGAGGGGAUCUCAACUUCUGCAGGUAUUACGACUUCAGUGCCAUAAACCAAUAAAUAAGGCAUGGCUCCGACUAAUGUACACACGGUUGUGCGAUAUCCCAAUAGUGCAAAGGGCAACUUUUCAUGCCAUUGUCUGGAACUCUGAAUCAUUUUACUGAGAAACUUCUUGAUGUUCUUGUUUGCAGCUUCAAGGACGCCAUUAACUUUGGGCCGGUAAGGGGUAGAAUUACGAUGCGUAAUUUUAAAUUGUUCGCAUACCUCCCUCAUAAAAUGGUUGUUCAGAUUUGCAGCAUUGUCUGUAAUGAUAGUUUUAGGAAUACCAAAACGACAAAUAAUGUUGGAAUGCACGAAAUCCACCACUGCUUUCUUGGUGACGGCUUUGAAAGUGACUGCUCCGACCCACUUUGUGAAAUAAUCAAUGGCAACCAAGAUGAAUCUGUGCCCAUUUGAAGCUUUCGGCUCGAAUGGACAAAUAACAUCCAUGCCCCAAGCAACGAACGGCCAAGGCGCCGACAUAGGAUGUAACUUUGAAGGCGGUGCAUGAUUCAGGUCACCGUGUAUCUGGCACUGAUGGCACUUCCAGACGAAACUGAAGCAAUCCUUUUCCAUGGUCAUCCAGUAAUAACCUACCCGAAGGAUUUUCUUUGCUAGGACAUACCCAUUCAUAUGAAGUCCACAUACUCCCGAGUGCACUUCGUUCAUGAUCUUGUUAGCUUCUUGGGAAUCUACGCACCUCAAAAGAUUCAGAUCUGGAGUUCUUUUGUAUAUGACUUCUCUACUCAAAAAGAAACUGCUUGCAAGCCUUCUGAUAGUUCUCUUUUGAUCUCCACUGGCCUACUCGGGAUAUUUUUUUGUUUUCAAAAACCUUUUGAUAUCAUGAUACCAUGGCUGAACGUCUGGCUCCAUUUAAAUUGCGUUACAAUAACCAUGCCUUUCUCGAAUUUGGAUUUCCAGUGGGUCAAUAUGGACAUUACCCGGGUACGGCAGCAUUGAGGCCAAAGUAGCUAGUGCAUCAACUAGCUCAUUGUGGAAUCGAUGAAUAUACCUGAACUCGACAGACAUGAACCGUUUGCUAAGAUCUUCCACAUGUUGCCUGUACGGGAUGAGUUUGAUGUCUCGAGUUUCCCAUUCACCUUGGGCUUGCCGAAUGAUCAAAUCAGAAUCCCCCAUGAUUAACAAUUCCUCUACAUCCAGAUCAACUACCAUGUUCAUGCCCAGGAUACAGGCUUCAUACUCGGUGGUGUUGUUUGUACAGAAGAAACGGAGCCUGGAUGUGCCCAGAUAGUGUUACCUGUGGGCGAAAUCAGAAUUGCUCCAAUCCCGACACCUUUUGCAUUUACAGCCCCAUCAAAGAACAUUUUUCAGACAUUGGUGUCCUCUAGAACUACUUCAACUGAAUUUACUUCCUCGUCCGAAAAGUAAGUGCUUAGGGGUUGGUAUUCAUCAUCGACCGGGUUUUCAGCUAGGUGAUCCGCCAAGGCAUGGGCUUUCAUCGCCGUGCGGGUGACAUAGACUAUGUCAAACUCAGUGAGCAGGAUCUGUCAUUUUGCUAACCUUCCCGUGGGCAUCGGUUUUUGGAAUAUAUACUUCAGAGGAUCCAUCCUGGUUAUGAGAUAUGUUGUGUAAGCCAAGUUAGGGCGCAACAAUUUCUUUCCAACAAAGUGUAUUUGGUUUCAUAACUGGUGAACUUCUUGCUCAUAUAAUAUAUGUCUUGCUCUCUCUUCCCGGCCACAUCGUGUUGCCUCAGGACACAACCGAAAGAAUUUUCCAAGGCUGUUAGGUACAAGAACAAAGGUCUCUUCGGCUCGGGUAGAACCAACUCUGGCGGAUUUGAUAAAUAUUCUUUGAUUUUGUCAAAAGCUUCUUGACACUCAUCUGUCAAUCUGAUUGUCGCGUCUUUCUUUAACAACUUAAAUAUGGGCUCACACGUGGUAGUAAGCUGAGCAAUGAAUCUACUGAUGUAAUUCAAUCUUCCUAUCAGACUCACGACCUCUUUCUUGGUUUUUGGAGGUGGCAAAUACCGAAUAGACUUUAUCUUUGUUGGAUCUAACUCAAUACCCCUCCGACUGACUAUAAACCCUAGAAGAUUUCCAGAUAGAACUCCAAAUGCACAUUUAGCCGGGUUCAAUUUCAAGUCAUACCUGCGCAGACGCUCAAAGAAUUUCCUCAGAUCUCGCACAUGACCUUCUUGCGUUCUGUAUUUAAUGAUCACAUCAUCCAUAUACACCUCAAUUUCCUGGUGCAUCAUGUCAUGGAAGAUGACAGUCAUAGCUCUCAUGUAGGUUGCCCCGGCGUUUUUCAGACCAAAUGGCAUGACCCUGUAACAGUAAGUGCCCCAAGGUGUGGUGAAAGCCGUCUUUUCUGCAUCUUCUUCAUCCAUCAGAACCUGGUGGUACCCAGCAUAAUAAUCCAUGAAAGAUUGUGUCUCAUGUUUAGCACAGUUGUCAACAAGAAGUGAAUAUUCGGCAGUGGAAAGUUGUCCUUGGGACAUGCUUUGUUCAAAUCCCGGUAAUUAACACACACUCGGGUUUUACCAUAUUUCUUCGGCACUGGAACCACAUUAGCCAACCACGUGGUGUAUCGCACUACCCGAAUCAUACCGACUUUUAGUUGUUUGGUGACUUCUUCUUUGAUCUUAUUGCUGAUGUCGGUUUUGAACUUUCUCUGCUUCUGUUGAAUGGGUGGAUAACCAGGAUAAGUGGGCAAUUUAUGUACCACCAAAUCAACUCUCAGCCCCGGCAUAUCAUCAUAAGACCAUGCAAACACGUCUUUGAAUUCAAACAAAAGUUGGAUCAAGUCAUCUCUAGUUCUUUCAUCGGCGUGAAUGCUUAUCAUGAUUUCUCGGACCUCUUCUGGACUGCCCAAGUUAACUGGCUUGGUUUCAUUUAAGUUUGUCUUAGGCUUAUUCUAUUGUUCCAAUUCGCGAUUUAUUUCCCUAAAAGCCUCAUCUUCAUCAUAUUAUGGUUCUUGAUUCAUUAUUUCACAGUUAGACAACAUUUUAGGAUCUAGGCAUGAAGUCCGCAAGCAUGUCAUGUUAUUUAAGUCCGCAUUAUUAGAACUGAAAAGAAAAGAUAAGAAAAAUAACAAAAUCAGAAUAAAGAAAAGAGACAUCUGUGGACGAUGAAAUAUUGAUUCCAUUUCAUUGAAUUGAAGAUAUGAGGGUUUACAUCAAAAUCAAAGACAGUAAAGUAAAAACAUUCGAGUUACACCCUAAAAUAACUCGUAAUGUAGAAGAAAUGGCAAGACUGGUGUAACGACCAAGUCGGUCGUUUUGAGUAUUACAGUCACGUUCCCCCAUUUACUGCUUAUCCUGUGUUCAAUUAUAAUAAUAUGACUUGCCGGGGGAAUUGCAGAAUGAAGUGGAACACUUAGUUCCAAGACUAAAAGCUUAAGUUGAAAUAGUUGACCGGAUAUUGACUUAUAUGUAAAAGACCCCGGAAGAGGGUUUUGAUGAUUCCAAUAGAUCUGUAUGGUGAUUCUGGACUUAGGAGCGUGUCGAGAAAAUUAUUUGGAAGUUCGUAGUUCAAUUAGGCUUGAAAUGGCUAAAAUAGAAAUGUAAGUUUGGAAGUUUGACCGGGGAGUUGACUUUUUGAUAUCGGGGUCGGAAUCCGAUUCUGGAAAUUUGAAUAGGUCUGUUAUAUCAUUUAUGACUUGUAUGCAAAAUUUGAGAUCAAUCGGACUUGGUUUGAUAGGUUUUGACAUCUAAUGUAGAAGUUAAAAAUUCUUAAGUUUCAUUAAACUUGAAUUGGGGUAUGAUUCGUGGUUUUAGCGUUGUUUGAUGUGAUUUUAGGUUUCGACUAAGUUCGUAUGAUGUUUUAGGACUUGUUGGUGUAGUUGGUCGAGGUCUCGGGGGUCUCGGGUGAGUUUCAGAUGGUUAACGGAUAAAUAUUUGGACUUGGAACUUUGCUGGAAUUUUCUGAAGUCUGAACCUGGUUUCCUUCUACGCGAUCGUGUGAGAAGGUCCGCGAUCGCGUAGGCUUAGCUGGGCAGAGGAGAAAUUUCCCUUCGCGAUCGCGUGAAUGGGGCUACGAUCGCAUAGCUUUGGAUGCCAGUUUAUCGCGAACGCGUGGGUAAUGUCGCGAUCGCGUAGUGUAUAGGAGGCAGAAGCUAGGCCACGCGUUUUGUUCUUCGCGAUCGCGUGGACAAGUUUGCGAUCGCGAUCGCGUAGGGUUGAGGAAGCUUUGCUUCGCGAUCGCGUGAAGGAGUCCGCGAUUGCGUAAGGUAAAAAUUUUGGCAUGAGAAAAUUGUUCUUCGCGAUCGCGUGAGUUGCUCCGCGAUCGCAUAGAAGAAAUCACUGGGCCGACAUUCCAGCUUAAAUGAGUAGCCUACCAGUGGUGGCGGGCAUACGAGUUGGAUAGUCCGGCUGAGGCAGCUUCACUCACUUGGACUUAGUUUUCAGAUAUGUUCCUGAGGGAUUAUGUUCCUUAGAGUCUUAGAGAUGCAUGGCGCGGAGGGUUUGAGCAGUUGCGCCAGGGUUCUAUGACCGUGUCAGAAUGUGCGGUCCGAUUCAAUGAUUUGGCUAGGCAUGCACCAGCCUUGGUUGCUACUAUUCGAGAGCGGGUUCGCCGAUUUAUUGAGGGGCUCCACCCUAGUAUAAGAUUCAGUAUGGCUCGAGAAUUGGAGAUGGACAUCGCAUACCAGCAGGUGGUGUCAAUUGCUAGGAGAUUGGAGGGUAUGCAGAUCCGGGAGAGAGAAGAGAGGGAAGCUAAGAGACCCUGAGAUUCUGGCAUGUAUAACAGUUCUCGUGCCCCAUCUACAGCUCAUCAGGGUAGGGGUUAUGAGAGUCCUGUUCAUUCAGUACUUCCAGCCGCCAGCGGUACUCCGGCCAUUCCUAGGCCCUAGGAUCCCUAUUAUGCACCGCUAGUGUCUAGUGUAGCUCCUGUACGGGGUGCUUCCAGUGGUCCAUCUAGUCGAUCAGGACCGAGCCAGUCACAACAGACACGUCCUCCGAGAGCUUGUUUUGAGUGUGGUGACAUUCAUCAUAUGGUGAGGUAUUGCCCCAGAUUCAGGAGGGGUGCACCUCCACAGGUUUCGCAGGCUGCACAUAUUCUACAGGGCCCUCAGACUUCUCAGGCCAUGAUUACUGCACCAGUUGCCACUCCACCUGCACAGCCAGCUAGAGGUGGAGGUCGGACAGGUAGAGGUCGCCCUAGAGGGAGAGGCCAUGCCAGAUAUUAUGCCCUUCCUGCUAUGACAGGGGCAGUCACAUCCGAUUCUGUUAUCAUAGGUAUUGUUCCGGUCUAUCAUAGAUAUGCAUCUAUCUUAUUUGAUCCAGGCUUCACUUAUUCUUAUGUGUCAUCUUAAUUUUCCCCGUAUUUAGGCGUAUCCCGUGAUUCUUUGAGCUCUUCUGUUUAUGUAUCUACACCCAUGAGUGAUUCUAUUAUUAUUGAUUGCGUGUAUCGGUCGUGUUUGAUUGUUAUCAGUGGUUUUGAGACCAGAGCUGAUUUAUUAUUGCUCAGUAUGGCGGAUUUCGAUAUUUUUUUGGACAUGGACUGGUUGUCGCCCUAUCACGCUAUCCUUGAUUGUUACGCCAAGACGGUGAUGUUGUCUAUGCCAGGUCUACCUCGGCUAGAGUGGAAAGGUACCUUAGAUUAUGUUCCUAUCAAGGUUGUUUCAUUACUUAAGGCUCAAUGAAUGGUUGAGAAGGGAUGUGAUACGUAUUUGGCCUAUGUGAGAGGUAUUAGUGUUGAUACUCCUACCGUGGAGUCAAUUCCUGUAGUAAAGGAUUUUUCUGAUGUAUUUCCAGCGGUAACUUCCAGGUAUGCCACCCGACAGGGAUAUUGACUUUGGCAUUGAUUUAUUACCGGGCACUCAGCCCAUUUCUAUUCUACCAUAUCGUAUGGCCCCAACAGAAUUGAAAGAAUUAAAAGAGCAGUUACAGGAGUUGCUUGAUAAGGGUUUUGUUCGGCCUAGUGUAUCGCCUUGGGGUGGUCCUGUCUUAUUUGUGAAGAUGAAGGAUGGUUCUAUGCGGAUGUGUAUUGAUUGCCGCUAGUUGAACAAGGUUACAGUGAAGAACAAGUAUCCAUUGACUCAUAUUGAUGACCUAUUUGAUCAGCUUCAGGGUGCCAAAGUGUUCUCUAAGAUCGACUUGCGGUCAGGCUAUCAUCAGUUGAAGAUUCGGGAGCCAGAUAUCCCGAAGACUGCUUUCUGGACUCGGUAUGGUCAUUAUGAGUUCCUUGUAAUGUCAUUUGGGCUGACCAAGGCCCCAACAUCAUUUAUGCACUUAAUGAACAGUGUAUUUCAACCCUAUCUUGAUUCUUUCGUCAUUGUGUUUAUUGACAACAUUCUGGUGUAUUCCCGGAGUCGGGAGGAUCAUGAGCAACACCUGAGGACUGUGCUUCAAACUUUGAGAGAAAAUAAGUUAUACGCAAAAUUUUCAAAGUGUGAAUUCUGGCUUGAUUCAGUGGGAUUCUUGGGUGAUAUAGUUUCGUGCGAAGGGAUCAAGGUAGAUUCGAAGAAGAUUGAGGCAGUGCAGAGUUGGUCCAGACCUUCCUCAGCUACAGAGAUUCGGAUUUUCCUUGGUUUGACAGGGUAUUAUCGCCGAUUUGUAGAGGUUUUCUCUUCUAUUGCUGCAUCUAUGACCAAAUUGACCCAGAAGGGUGCUCCGUUCAGGUGGACCGAGGAAUGUGAAGAGAGCUUUCAAAAGCUCAAGACAGCUUUGACUACAGCCCCAGUAUUGGUAUUGCCUACAGGUUCAUGGUCUUAUACUAUGUAUUAUUAUGCAUCGCGUAUUGGUCUCGGCGCAGUGUUGAUGCAAGACGGUAGGGUGAUGACCCCUAUCUACUUGUCCUUAAGGACACAGUUCAACACGGUGAUGCCAAAGAAGUCACUAUUGGGGAUGACGAUGUAUUACAGAUGCAUGGCAUGCUAUGUGUGCCUAAUGUAGAUGGUUUGCGUGAGUUGAUUAUCUAGGAGGCUCACAGCUCGCGGUACUCCAUUCAUCCAGGCACCGCGAAGAUGUAUUAGAAUUUGAGGCAACACUAUUGGUGGAGGUGGAUGAAGAAAGACAGUGAAGUAUGUCGCCCGGUGCCUAAAUUAUCAACAGGUGAAAUAUGAGCAUCAGCGACCGGGUGAAAUCAUUAUGGAUUUUGUUGUUGGGCUCCCACGGUCUCAGAGGAAGUUCGAUACAGUUUGAGUGAUUGUGGAUAGAUUGACCAAGUCAUCUCAUUUCAUUCAUGUGGUUACUAUUUACUCUUCGGAGCAGCUGGAUCAGGUUUACAUUCGCGAGAUCGUCAGGCUUCAUGGCGUCCCAGUAUCUAUCAUCUCUGGCCGGGGUACGCAAUUUACGUCAUGGUUUUGGAGAGCCGUAUAGCGUGAGUUGGGUACUCAUGUGGAGUUGAGUAGAGUAUUUCACCCUCAGACGGACGGACAGUCCGAAAGUAUUAUUCAAAUAUUCGAGGAUAUGCUUCGUGCGUGUGUGAUUGAUUUUGGGGGUGCUUGGGAUCAGUUUCUGCCACUUGUAGAAUUUUCUUACAAUAACAGCUGUCAAUCGAGCAUUCAAAUGACUCCAUAUGAGGCUUUAUAUGGGAGACGGUGUCGGUCUCCGGUGGGUUGGUUUGAGCCGGGUAGGUCUAGGCUAUUGGGUACUGAUUUAGUGCAGGAUGCUUUGGAAAAGGUUAGAUUUAUUCAGGAUCGACUUCGCACGAUGCAGUCUAGACAGAAGAGUUAUGCCGACUAGAAGGUCCGUGAUGUUGCUUACAUGGUUGGGGAGAAAGUUCAACUCAAGAUUUCACCCAUGAAGGGUGUGUUGAGGUUCAGAAAGAAGGACAAGUUGAGUCCUAGGUAUAUUGGGCCUUUUGAAAUACUUAAGAAGAUUGGAGAGGUGGCUUAUGAACUUGAGUUGCCGCCUAGUCUAUCGGGUGUUCAUCCAGUGUUCCAUGUAUCGAUGCUCCGGAAUAUGUCGGGGAUCCGUCUCAUGUUUUGGAUUUCAGUACAGUACAGUUGGAUGGUAAUUUGACGUAUGCUAUGGAGCCGGUGACCAUUUUAGACCGGCAGGUUUGAAAGCUGAGAUCAAAGAACAUAGCUUCAAUGAAAGUGCAGUGGAGAGGCCAGCUAGUCGGAGAAGCUACAUUGAGCGGGAGAUGUAGAUCAAAUAUCCACACCUAUUUGAGGCUUUAGGUAUGAUUCUAAACCCGUUCGAGGACGAAUGUUUGUUUAAGAGGGGGCGAAUAUAACAACCCAGCCAGUCGUUUUGAGUAUUACAACCUCGUUCCCUCAUUUAUUGCUUAUCAUGUGUUCAAUUAUAAUAAUAUGACUUGCCGGGGGAAUUUCAAAGUGAAAUGGAACACUUAGUUCCAAGACUAAAAGCUUAAGUUGAAAUAGUUGAUCGGAUGUUGACUUAUAUGUAAACGAUCCCGGAAGAGGGUUUUGAUUGUUCCAAUAGCUCCGUAUGGUGAUUCUGGACUUAGGAGCGUAUCCAGAAAAUUAUUUGGAAGUCCGUAGUUCAAUUAGGCUUGAAAUGGCUAAAAUAGAAAUUUAAGUUUUGAAGUUUGACCGGGGAGUUGACUUUUUUAUAUCGGGGCCGGAAUCCGAUUCUGGAAAUUUGAAUAGAUCCGUUAUGUUAUUUAUGACUUGUGUGCAAAAUUUGAGGUCAAUCGGACUUGAUUUGAUAGGUUUCGGCAUCGAAUGUAGAAGUUGAAAAUUCUUAAGUUUCAUUAAGCUUGAAUUGGGGUACGAUUCGCGAUUUUAGUGUUGUUUGAUGUGAUUUGAGAUUUUGACCAAGUUCGUAUGAUGUUUUAGGACUUGUUGGUAUAAUUGGUCGAGGUCCUGGGGGCCUCGGGUGAGUUUCGGAUGGUUAGCGGAUAACUUUUUGGACUUGGAAUUUUGCUGGAACUUUCUGAAGUCUGAACCUGGUUUCCUUCUACGCGAUCGCGUGAGAAGGUCCGCGAUCGCGUGAAAAGGUCCGCGAUCGCGUGAGAAGGUCCGCUAUCGCAUAGGCUUUGCUGAGCAGAAGAGAAAUUGCCCUUCGCGAUCGCGUGAAUAGGGCUGUGAUCGUGUAGCUUUGGACGCCAGUGCAUCGCGAACGCGUGGGUAAUGUCGCGAUCGCGUAGUGUAUAGGAGGCAGAAGCUGGGCCACGUGCUUUGUUCUUCGCGAUCGCGUGGACAAGUUCGUGAUCGCGUAGGGUUGAGGAAGCUGUGCUUCGCGAUCGCAUGAAGGAGUCCGCGAUCGUGUAAGGUAAAAAUUUUGGCAGGGGAAAAUUGUUCUUCGCGAUCGCGUGAGUUAGUCUGCGAUCGCAGAGAAAAAAUCAUUGGGCAUAAAGUUUAAGUUCUGAAAAUCCAUUUUUACCGAUUUGGAGCUCGGAGAGAGGCGAGAUUUGGGAGAUUUCAAGAAAAAUAACGGGGUAAGUGUUCUUAACUCAAUAUUGGUUAAAUUACCCGAAUCCGUGGUUGUUUUUAACAUUUAAUUGGUGAAUUAAGUUGGAAGAUUUAGAAAACCCUCUUAGUUUAAAUUGAAGAUUUGAGGGUCGAGAUGAUGUCGGAAUUUGGUAAAUUUUAUAUGGUUGGACUCGUAGUUGAAUUGGCGUUCAUAUUUUGUAACUUUUGUCGGGUUCUGAGACGUGGACCCCACGAGCGAUUUUUAAGUUAAAUUUCGAAUUUUGUUGAAAAAUCUGAAUUUUCAUAUGGAAUUAAUUCCUAUAAUUUGUGUUGACUUAAUCAAAUUAAUUGUGACUAUAUUCGAGCCGAUCGGAAUCAAAAAAUCGAGGGAAAGGCAUUCUUAUUGUCUGAUUGAGCUUGGCUUGAGGUAAGUGGCUUGUCUAACCCUGUGUGGGGAAAAUCCUCUUAGGAUUUGAUAUUGUUGUAACAUUUUGUGAUAUGUGAGCGCCGUGUACGCGAGGUGACGAGUGCUUACACGGGAUAAAUUUGGAAAUAUAGGUUCUUGCUGAGUAGUCUUCUUUUAAAUUCUUUAUCUGAGUUAUUUUAGUAUAUGUAGUGAUCAUGCUUAGUCUAGUACCACAUGUCUACGUGCCCUAACUCUUACUUGCAAUAUGUGCAACAUGCUUAGCUGAAUUACCUGCUUAUUUUAUUUGAUUUAAAUCUUUAACUGUGAGAUUCUUGCUGUAAAUGUGUUGUUCCCUUCGGAUAUCUGUUGUAUAUUUACUUUUGGGACUACGAGGCGGUUCCUCGGGAGAUCCCCCUGUACUGCAUAUUUACUUUGGGACUACGAGGCGGUACCUCGGGAGCGCCCAUGUUGUUUACCUCUAUUUGUUGUGUUGUUCACUUCUCAAUCAUUUCAUUAUAUUAUUAUAUCCUCUAUCUUACUUUUCUAUUAUUUUCAGUAGGGCCUGACCUGACCUCGUCACUACUCUACCGAGGUUAGGCUUGGCUCUUACUGGGUACCGCUGUGGUGUACUCAUACUACACUUCUGCACAUCUUUUUGUGCAGAUCCAGGUACUUCUUACCAGCCCAGAUAUCAGUGAGCUACCUGUGUGCGGAGAUUUCAAGGUACAUCUGCCAGCGUCUGCAGACCUCGGAGGUCCCCCUCUAUCCUUAUCAUGUCAUUUUCCUUAUUUUAGUAGACUCUGAUGUAUAGAGACAUUAGUAUUUCUCUUAUAAGCUUGUGACUUGUUUCUACCGGAUUUUGGGAGAUUGUAGUUCUUUGACUUGCAGUUUUCAUUUAUUACAACUAUUGAGGUUUGGGUUUCAGACUCUUAUUUUGUUAUUCUGCAAUUUGUUAGGCUUACCUAAUCUUAGAGACUAGGUGCCAUCACGACAUCCUACGGAGGGUGAAUUGGGGUCGUGACAAGUGGACUACCAGAACUCCCAUCUGAUAGGGAAUGGGGUAGCUUUCCAAUUCUGGAGCUUGGCAUCUGGGCCCAUAUGCUGCACCUCGGCAUUGCUUGUGCCUUCCCCUGGCUGGACCAUGUGAAACUCGUAUAUCAUUUGUUUUAUGGCUUCACAAAUAUCAUCAAUUUCUUUGGUCGUGAAGGCCUCUUCUUCUUCUUCCACAUAUUUUGGUUUGACAAAUGAUUGGGCGAGAUGUAGAAUAGUCCGGGACAUGACCCACCCUUUCAUGACAAAUGGCAAUAUUUUUACAACCUUGAUACAGAACAACCCAGAAACAUUCCCAAAACCCGGUGUCGCGAAUGCACGGGCAUCUACUAGGAAGUAACUAAAAUACAUCAUCUGUCCGAAAUACAAAUUAGACAGGAAAAAUACAAAUAACUCUGGAGUAGACUCUGUUGGUUGCGGAUCUAAUCUGAAAUGCAGCUCGCGGCAAGUCCCCGCAUCAUCCGCGCCUCCGUGCCCAAAGGACCACCGGAUAUAAAAGUACCUGCACAAAAAUGUGCAGCAAGUGUAGUAUGAGUACGUAAAUCCACGUGUACCUAGUAAGUAUCUAGACUAACUCCGGAGGAGUAGAGACGAGGGGUCGACAUCUGCACUCACUAGUGGUCCAAUAAUAUCAGGUACAGUAAGGAGGUGAACAAAUAUGAGGCAGAGUAAAUAAAUGAAAUAAACAAGUGUAAAUAUAUGGUACAAUUAUCCCCCUUACAAUAAACUCAAGCUCUUAAUUAGAAAUUUCCUCCUCAACCGGAGCAUAUAUAUAUAUAUAUAAUAUGGACCUCACCAAAUAGGUUGUUAUAAUUCGAAUCAGGGAAAAUCUCACAGAUACUCUGGCUUCUUGCCAAAUAUUACGCACGAUUCCAUGAGGAUAUUUUUAUAAAAAUGUCGAGGCGUACGCCCCGAUCCAACAUAAAUAUUAAACUAUGCACUGCCGAGAGUCGAACGACACGAACCAUAGAUGCAUCUAUUAAACUGCCGAGGCGAACGGCCCGAUCCCAUUAGAAUAAGAAGUUUGAACGGGUCCUUGACCCCCAUUCACGAAUGAACAUGAGAGUUAUAAUUUUUUAAAGGAAAAUUAUUCGAUGACAACGUAUAACGCGCGAGAAAUCCGUAAGAGGAACACCAUUAUUCCGUGGCAAAUCAUAAAACUCGCGAAAACUCUACAAUAGCAAGUCCAUGCGAAAUAGAAGAAUUAGACAAGCAAGGAUAAUCCCUAUAGUACAAGUACAACAUGAUGUAAACCUAAGUCUACCCGGACAAUAACAUGAAUCUAACUACGUAUGGACUCUCGUCACCUCGUGCGUAUAUAGUCCCCGAAACAAGUUACAAAUAUUAAAUAUAUCACAUAGGGGUAGUUUCCUCCACACAGAGUUAGACAUGAGACUUACCUCGCUCUGAAGUUCCGAAACCGGCUCCAACGCCGCUCUAACACCUCAAACCGGUUCCCGUCGCUCCAAAACUAGUCAAACAAUGUGCAAACCCAUAAAAAUACACUCUAAUACUCAUAACAAAUCAAUUUAAACAAGUUCACAACUCCACUCGAAAAGUCGAUAAGGCAACUCUGGGGUCCACGAUCCCAGAUUCCGAAAAUAUUCGAAGAUAACCAUUACCCAUAACAUUACGAACUCAAAUAUAAAAUUUAUUCUCAAUUCCAAGACCAAUUUCGUGGUAAAAAUCCAAAAAUACCGAUUUCUAGGUUAUUUUUUAAAAUUCUAAAUUUCUACAAAUUUUCAUGCUUGAAUCCAUAUAAAUCAUGUUUUUAACUCACAUUGUGAAGAAAUCACUUACCCCAUAAUAGCUGAUGAAGAUGGCACUCCAAAAUCGGCUCCCAUGGACGAAAUGAUAUGGAAUUGAUCCAACCCCUUUGUUUAAAAAGAACACUGCGCAGCCCGACUACCGCACCUGCGGCCGCUUCACCGCAUCAGUGGUCUCGCAGGUGCCGCCAAAACCUCGCACUUGCGCAUACCCUCUGCCCAGCACAGCUCCACACCUGCGAUGCCAAAUGUGCCCCUGUGGUCUCGCUUAUGCGGAGACCUUCCGCUUCUGCGACUCCAGCUGCCCAGCUCGCAUUCCGCUUCUGCAAAGCUUUCCUCUCAUCUGUGGGCUCGCAGAUACGGAAACAUCCUCGCAUCUGCAACCAUCCCAGCUCCAUCCAAAUGUCGCUUCUGCGACCAAAUCGCCGCACCUGCGGGCUCGCACCUGCGGCCCUUCUCACGUAGGUGCGAUUGCACCAGAUAUAAGCUGCCUCAACACUUCUUCCAAGUCCAAACUCGAUCCGUUAACCAUCCGGAAUCCACCCGAGGCCCUCGGGAUCUCAACCAAAUAUACCAACACGUCCCAAAACAUAAUAAGAACUUAGUCGAGGCCUCAAAUCAUUCCAAACAACAUCGAAACUACGAAUCACCCUCCAAUUGAAACCUAAUGAAAAUUGAAGCUUCAAACUUCUACAAUCGACGCCGAAACCUAUCAAACCACGUCCAAUUGACCUCAGAUUUUGCACUCAAGUAAUAAUUAACAUUACGGACCUACUCCAACUUCCGGAAUCAGAAUCCGACCCUGAUAUUAAAAAGUUCACUCCCGGUCAAACUUCUCAAAAAUCCUUCAAAUUUCUAACUUUCGCCAAAAGACCCCGAAAUGACCUACGGACCUCCAAAUCCACGUCCGGAUGCUCUCCCAAUACGAGAAUCAUGAUGCGGAGCUAUUCCUAGACUCGGAAUCCCAAAGGGACAUCAAUAACAUUGAAAAUGCACUUCAACCCAAAUUUAUGAAAUUCUUCCAAAAUGCCAACUUUCCACAAUAGGCGCCGAAAUGCUCCCGGGUCAUCCAAAAUCCGAUCCGAACAUACGCCCAAGUCCAAAAUUAUCAUAUGAACCUGUUGGAACCUUCCAAUCCCGAUGAUGAGGCCGUUUAUUCAAAAAUCAAACCUUAAUUAAUUCUUCCAACUUAAAGCUUCCGAAAUGAGAGUUUUCUUUCCAAAUCAACUCCGAACUUCCCGAAAUUUAAUUCCGACCACGCGCGCAAGUCGUAAUACCUGAAGUGAAACUACUCAAGGCCUCAAACCGCUGAACAAUGCGCUAAAGCUCAAAACGACCGGCCGGGUCGUUACAUUCUCUCCCACUUAAACAUACAUUCGUCCUCGAACGUGCUAAGAACUGCUCUGGAGUUGUCCGAAAUCACUGGUCAACACCUCGUGCACCUUCCGUGAUACCACAACCCAGUUGAGCACAUUAUCUUGAGCAAUCUGAAGAUUCUCCCUUUUAUUCAGUCAAGUUAGCCUUAGAGCCAAAUUCCAACAUCUGAAAUUCUCUACUAGGCCUGUUUCCAGCAUACGAACACCGUAUCAAUCAUUACAAACUGUACCAGACAUGAUUGUAUACCCUUACUGAAUUCACACCAUGUACCGCAUAAUUCACAUGACCAUAAUAACGUCCUCUGAUAACAAUAGCCGAAAUCCCACGAAUCUGAUGUCCACAACGCACCUCAUAACAUAUAUAAGUCCUAUUCCAACUCCUGCGAUGCCGCCACGACGGAAGAGAUGUGUAGAAAUUCAUAACCAACUACCAAGUCUACAAAUCAUCGACUCUCUCCUCUUGACAAGAACCAUCACCUCAUUAUGAACCAAUAACGAUAUUUUCUCUUUAAUGUGUCUCAUAUAAAUCUGAUCGCACCGAUCCUAGGUUCAAUGAUCUCGUCUCACCCAGCAUAAGUUGUUCAGGAAAUAAGCCAUCUCAAACACUGCCAAAAGUUUCAUAUGAUGCCACAAGGUGCCAACAAACUACAAACUCGAAAGUGAUACAUAAGGAAACGAACUUUGGAAAGAGCUACUCUACCCACGUAACUAGUUAAACAACCAAAAGGAUGUUAUGAACCUUCCUCAGAAAGUGAGAAACAGAGCACACAAUAAUAGAUAUGGGAAACUGUACUCAACAUAACUCUGUUGUGGAGUGCAACCCGAUCCACACAUGAUACCGUUGCGGCAUGUAACCCGAUCCAACCAUAAUACCCGUGGCGUCGUGCCACCCGAUCCAAACAACAUCUCCAUGGCGGCAUGCCACCCGAUCCACACAUAAUAAUAAAUAGGGAAAUACCCAUCAAGCAAGAAAUGUUUAUACCUACGAAAUACCCGAAUAUCAACCACAAGCACGCGAAGUGCAUAAUACAAAUCCUGGGGAGAUAGAUAGCACCAUACGCUACAAAACUCAAGCACGACUAAGGUGCGAUAAAUGACCUGCAUCUCGAGAGCCAUCCUGCUUAUAUGACACCGUAAGCUACACAGGAUCUCAACACAUGUGCGAAUAAUCAAACCAUCUCACAACCCACACAGCACAAUAGAGUAUUUCAUGAAAUAGCUGACGACGAAAAUAACAUCCAAUGCCCGAACGCUCCUCCAUAAGGAAUGCUAUGCUGAAUGAACACACCCAGGUUGGUGUAGAGCACACAUUCACAUUUAGAUCCAUCCAAGGACCUCAAGCCGAUUCUGAUCGUACCGAACUGGGCUAAUAACCUCCCAAGGAUCUACAACAACCCUAUUCGUGACAUAUAAGAGCAGCCUUCCAAUCCGGAACAAACUCCCACAGUUCACAACCAAAUGAAUAGAGCACCUUCCAGGCCUAAACUCUCACAUUAGCGAUAGUACCAUAAUCUCCAUACUCGGUUUCAAUCUUUAAUCAAUCAAGUGACUAUAUGUCACACUUACACAAUCUUCCCGUGGGAUACACCUUCACAACUUUUCGCCCCAAGUAGCAAAGUCGGCAUGUUCAUACCACCGACCAUACUAGUGUUGUAAAGAAAAUCGAGAACCCGCAAAUCAGUACACAAAUACUCUUACACAGGACACCAUUCUCAAGUGACGCUAAAGAAAAUACCAGCUUACCCUAAUCAUCUAAAUUAUUUCCUGCUCAUCUGAGCUCGUGACAUUCUUGUCAACACCGAACCACAACUUCCAAUUCCUAUGCUGCUCACUGCACCUAAGCUGCCACUAUGCGAGAGUACAGGAAUUUUACCAUAACUCCUGAACCACUAAUAGAAUAAACACUUCAUCAUAUAGAAACUUUUCACCUAACUCAUUUCAGGAGAACCAUUGCAACACGCAACUGAAUUCCCAUAAACGCAGAAAAUACAAUCUCCAAGUUGUGGUCUAAACUACCAUAACUCUUCCGGGAUCCAUCUACACAUAACCGGCUAUAAUAAUCGAAUGCCUCCAAUUAACUCAAAUUACGGCGGCCAUCAAGCCUCGCACGUACCGCCACAAAUCACCUGCAUAACUUAACACGUUGAAGGAACUGAUCAUUGCCACCACCAUGCCGAUUCAACCAUUGUUAACCAAACUAACUUCUUCUAAUUUACUCUGGACUUGCCCUAGAAAUAAUAAUAGCUCCAUUCAAAACAUAACGAACUCAAUCCGAACUCAUCCUGAGUGACCCCAUUUUAUGAGACCACACUGUCUCAAAAUCCACGAACUAUCUCAUACCCUCCUUGUGCGCACAUUCGCAUCUUCAACUGGUAUACCUAUUCUGGUAAUUCCUCUAUAAAUCCGAAGUUAUUUUCUCCCAUAUAUCCAAUGUUGUACCACAGACCAAUGAUAACAUAGAACACUCCAAGUCCCUUUCAUAGUCCACUACAAAAGCUCGAUACUUAACCACACCACGAACUCGAAACCCUUGGGCACCACACUUUAACUUUUUUUUUGAACUCACUAGGACCGUUGUUGAGAGUCACCCACUCUGACUUGGUCACAGAUAUAAUCAACUAUAGGGCGUUGCUAGCACGUGAACACCCUAUCAGGGAAGCAUAAACUCUAAGUCUUCCCAAAACCUGAACAUGAAUCGAUAAGACCAAAUGCAGCACAUAUUCCUCAAAUCCUUUGCUCGAAUUACCAUUGAUGUUUUUCUUUCCUUAGUCAUAAUAAUCCACCAACACACCGAUGAUCAGAAUCCACACUGUAUGCGAUCAUACCGGUACUAACGCACCGGAUCCCAUCAGAACUCUGCACAAGCAGAUAACCACGCGAUCCAAUCGCAGACGGUGGGCUCCCCCAUUUAGCUUUAAGCUACCAUCACAAAAUAUAGAGCCCACAACGAUUCUUCCUUCUCAAAUACCAUGAUCUCGCAUCGUCAACCCACAAAAUUCUUGCCAUCCCAUAUUAAACUUUGCAUAAAUAUUCUGAACCAUCAUCCACAACUGCACAUUCGACCUCUUGCUGGGUAGUAAGUAGAACUCUUUGUAGAAACUUUAUCGAAAUCAUGCAACCGCUGACCUGCUCACAGGAGAUAACCUACAUGUGGAAAUUUCCAUACCGACAUCUUCCAACGACACUGCUCUUGGUACAAUUACUAUGAAAUCAAUAAACCAUUUUGAGCCUGUGCUCCUCCACCAGCUGUGUAAGUUCAUUCACUCCCCAUUGACAUCAACUACAGGUGCGACAAUACAUUCCAAUCUGAAGUCAUGUUGCAUCCCUCUCCAUAUCAAGCAACUCCUUCCUGUCGUAUCCAAUUUUCUUCAGUGUUGUAGCCAAUAUUCCAAAUUAGUCCAUAGACCUAGUCACUGUCCACCAUAAAUCCCAAAUCACUCUAAACUUUCCCCAAGGCGUGCAACUAUCCUACCAUAGAACCCAUAUGCUACUCUGCCACUCUCCCACUUUGGUCAAACCCUCUCCUUUAAGCAACUACCCGACUCCUAUUUUUUACACCUGGCCUUCUACAAAUUGAACCACCGCAAGAUGCCUCCCACAUGUCUUUCCUCAUCCUUCGCUGCCCAGUUGUUGCCUUAAAUAAAUAAUCCAUCUCUGUAGCACCUAGAUUAAUAAAUCUCUACCAACUUUAAACCUCCCCGAAGAUCAUCUUUCUCGAGCCAUCAACACUAGGAACACCGAUUCAAUUCUGAACCACUGCGCACCGCACUUUCUGACACCUGCUUCACUGGCACCAUUUCACAAUACCCCGCCCCAAGGGCGAAUUGAAAAAAACCAUAAUACCGGCGAACUUAGCACAUUCCACAAGGACAACGACACCACAUAACAGAUGAAAAUUCCACCACGCUCGAAAAUACCAAGUCUCGUUACUCCAUCAACCUAAAUCUGAACAUUCUUAGUCCAAUUGCCUUUCCUCUGCCGGAAAUAAAAUACUGAAUCUCUGAAUCAUGCACUGAGAAAAAUCUCCUUUCAGGUCAUUCAUUGCCUCGACAAACAUCCUACCAUUACAUCAUUACUGUGCGAUAACAACUUACGAACAUCAUGGAAACCAGCUACUGAGCCGAAAUGACAUAACACCCUUCCGCAAGGAGACAAUAAUGACUUGCUCGAAUUCGCAGGGAGAAACACCCUGCCCCACGUCUGUAGUACCACUACAACUCCUCGAUGCCCAAUUGACACGAGCGCUGAACAUCGUAUAAGAAUGAGUAGGAAGGAUAUAAAGGUAUAAGCCUCAAAGGAAUCAAAUCGCACGGUGGGAAAUCAAGAAAGGGAAGUGCUUCUAAUAGCCUUGUAGCCUCUCGAAGAAAAGUACAGACGUCUCCACACUGAUGCACAAGACUCUACUAGACUUGCUCAUGACUCGUGGGACUUAAAUAAAUCUAACGCUCUGAUACCAUGUUGUCAUGACCCAAAAUCCAUUAAAUGAUGGUGUUAGAGCGCCUAACACCACUGUCAGGCAAGCCAACAAUAAAAGUUUAACUUAAUUACUCAUUUUAGUAAUUUUGAAAUCAUAAAUUUCCUUCAAUUAAAUGGUAAGAGGUAAAAUUUACAAAAUAAAUGGCAAUAUUUUUACAACCUUGAUACUGAACAACCCAGAAGCAUUCCCAAAAUCCGAUGUCACGAAUGCACGAGUAUUUACUAGGAAAUAACUAAAAUACAGCAUCUGUCCGGAAUACAAAUUAGACAGAAAAAUACAAAUAACUCCGGAGGAGACUCUGCUGGUUGUAGAUCGUAACCUGAACUAUAGCUCGCGGCAAGUCCCCGCAUCAUCCGUGCCUCCGUGCCCAAAGGACCAUUGGACAUAAAAGUACCUGCACAAAAAUGUGCAGCAAGUGUAGUAUGAGUACGUUAAUCCACGUGUACCCAGUAAGUAUCUAGCCUUAACCCCGGAGGAGUAGAAAUGAGGGGUCGACAUCGACACUCACUAGUGGUCCAAUAAUAUCAGGUACAGUAAGGAGAUGAACAAAUAUGAGGCAGAAUAAAUAAAUGAAAUAAACAAGUAUAAAUAUGUGGUACAAUUAUCCUCCUUACAAUAAACUCAAGCUCUUAAUUAGCAAAUUCCUCCUCAACCAGAGCAUAUAUAUAUAUAUAUAUGUGUGUGUGUGUGUGUGUGUGUGUGUGUGUGUGUAUAAUGGACCUCACCCAAUAGGUUGUUAUAAUUCGAAUUAGGGAAAAACUCACAGAUACUCUGGCUUCUUGCCAAAUAUUACGCAUGAUUCCAUGAGGAUAUAUUUGCCGAGGUGUACGGCCCUAUCCAACAUAAAUAUUAAACUGUGCACUGCCAAGGGUCGAACGACACGAAUCAUAGAUGCAUCUAUUAAACUACCGACGCAAACGACUCGCUCCCAUGAGAGUGUGGUACAUAAUUCCUGCCGAGGAGAACGACCCGAUCCCAUUAGAGUAAGAAGUUUGAACGGAUCCUUGACCCCCACUUACAAAUGAACAUGUGAGUUAUAAUUUUUUUAACGAAAAUUAUUCGAUGACAACGCAUAACGCGCGAGAAAUCCGUAAGAGGAACACCAUUAUUCCGUGGCAAAUCAUAAAACUCGCGAAAACUCUACAAUAGCAAGUGCAUCACUCUACGCAUGUCUAGUCUCAAGCCAUAAUGCAAAAUAGAAGAAAUAGACGAGCAAGGAUAAUCCCUAUAGUACAAGUACAACAUGAUGUAAACCUAAGUCUACCCGGACAAUAACAUGAAUCUAACUACGUAUGGACUCUCGUCACCUCAUGCGUACGUAGUCCCCACAACAAGUUACAGAUAUUAAAUAUAUCACCUAGGGGUAGUUUCCUUCUCACAGAGUUAGACAGGAGACUUACCUCGCUCCGAAGUUCCGAAACCGGCUCCAACGCCGCUCUAACACCUCAAACCGGUUCCCGUCGCUCCAAAACUAGUCAAACAAUGUGCAAACCCAUAAAAAUACACUCUAAUACUCAUAACAAAUCAAUUUAAACAAGUUCCCAAAUCCGCUCGAAACGUUGAUAAGGCAACCCUCGGGCUCACGUGCCCGAAUUCCGAAAAUAUUCGAAGAUAACCAUUACCCAUAACAUUACGAACUCAAAUAUAUAAUUUAUUCUCAAUUCCAAGUCCAAUUUCGUGGUCAAAAUCCAAAAAUACCAAUUUCUAGGUUUUUCUUCAAAAUCUCAAAUUUCAACAAAUUUUCAUGCUUGAAUCCAUACAAUAAUCAUGUAUUUAACUCACAAUGUGAAGAAAUCACUUACCCCAUAAUAGCUGAUGAAGAUGGCACUCCAAAAUUAGCUCCCAUGGACGAAAUGAAGUGGAAUUGAUCCAACCCCUUUGUAUUAAAAGAACACUGCCCAGCCUGACUACUGCACAUGCGACCGCUUCACCGCAUCUGCGGUCUCGCAGGUGCAGCCAAAACCUCGCAACUGCGCAUACCCUCUUCCCAGCACAGCUCCGCACCUGCGAUGCGAAACGCGCCUUUGCGGUCUCGCACAUGCGGAGACCUUCCGCUUCUGCGACUCUAGCUGCCCAGCUCGCAUUCCGCUUUUGCAGAGCUUUCCUCGCAUCUAUGGGCUCGAAGAUGCGGAAAUAUCCUCGCAUCUACGACCAUCCCAGCUCCGUCCAAAUGUCGUUUGUGCGACCACAUCGCCUCACCUACGGGCUUGCUCCUGCGACCCUUUUCACACAGGUGCGAUUGCACCAGAUAUCAGCUGUCUCGGCACUUCUUCCAAGUCCAAACUCGAUCCGUUUACCAUCCAGAAUCCACUCGAGGCCCUCGGGACCUCAACCAAAUAUACCAACACAUCCCAAAACACAUUACAAACUUAGCCGAGGCCUCAAAUCACGCCAAACAACAUCAAAACUAUGAAUCACCCUCCAAUUCAAAUCUAAUGAACUUUGAAUCUUCAAACUUCUACAAUCGAUGCCGAAACCUAUCAAACCAUGUCCAAUUGACCUCCGAUUUUGCACAAAAGUCAUAAUUGACAUUACGGACCUACCCCAACUUUCAGAAUCGGAAUCCGACCCCGAUAUCAAAAAGUCCACUCCCGGUCAAACUUCUCAAAAACCCUUCAAAUUUCUAGCUUACGCCAAAGGACCCCGACAUGACCUACGGACCUCCAAAUCCACAUCCGGACGCGCUCCCAAUACCAUAAUAACCAUACGGAGCUAUUCCCAUACUUAGAAUCCCAAAGGGACAUCAAUAACAUUGAAAAUGCACUUCAACCCAAAUUUAUGAAAUUCUUCCAAAACGAUAACUUUCCACAAUAGGCGCCGAAAUACUCCCGGGUCAUCCAAAACCCGAUCCGGACAUACGUCCAAAUCCAAAAUCAUCAUACCAACUUGUUGGAACCUUCUAAUCCCGAUUCCGAGGUCGUUUACUCAAAAAUCAAACCUUAGUCAAUUCUUCCAACUUAAAGCUUCCAAAAUGAGAGUUUUCUUUCCAAAUCAACUCUGAACUUCCCGAAAUUCAAUUCCGACCACGCGCGCAAGCCAUAAUACAUGAAGUGAAACUAAUCAAGGACUCAAACCGCUGAACGACGUGCUAAAGCUCAAAACGACCGGUCGGGUCAUUACAUAGGGUCUCCACUCCCUAGUCUGCCUUUCCAACAUAGGGUCUCCACUCCCUAGUUGAUUUUAUUUUAGACAUAGGGUCUCCACUCCCUAGUCUCCUUUCCAACAUAGAGUCUCUACUCCCUAGUUGAUUUUAUUUUNNNNNNNNNNNNNNNNNNNNNNNNUUUCAGACAUAAGGUCUUCACUCCCUAGUCUCAUUUUCCAACAUAGAGUCUCCUCUCCCUAGUUGGUUUUAUUUCAGACAUAGGUUCUCCACUCCCUAGUCUCCUUUUCCAACAUAGUGUCUUCGCUCCCUAGUUGAUGUUAUUUCAGAUAUAAGGUCUCCACUCCCUAGUCUCCUUACUAGUAUAGGGUACACCAAUCCCUAGUUGUGUUUUCCAACUUAAGGUACACCAAUCCUUAGUUGAGGCACCAUUUAGACAAUCAGGAUACACCACUCCCUAGUCUUUGUUUUCCAGGGUACACGAAUCCCGACCUUUUAUUGCUUUCAAUAAUGAAGUAGUAUAGAGUUUUAUUUCAAACAAACUCACGAAAUUUUCCUAGUGAAACUGGGGCAGAAAAAUUUCGUUCGUCUAUUUGUUUUGGUCCCUGAGUAGGUUAUACCUCAAGGCACAUGGUUUGCGAUAACCAAAAGAAGAAGUCUCAAUCCAAAAUAAAUAAAAGAAAAAAAAAUAAGUGAAUCCAAAAUGCAGAAGCGGUUGAAAGGAUGCGGACUGCACACGACAUGAAUGAAGUCACGAGCAUCGCAUUUCCCGUUUUGAUCCGAAGAAGCCAUAGAAGAAUGAACUAGCAAUUGCAGCUAGCAAGCAUUAAGAUUCAGAUCUGAGUCUGCAUGAAGAACCAGCCAAGACUCAAGAUCAAUUUUCAGAAAACCUAUAAAUAUGUAUCUUGUAACUCAUAGCUGAUAGGCUUGUCUAGUUUCUUUUUCAUUUUGAUUUUGGUGUAAUAAGGAGUUUAACAAGCAGUAACACCAGCAACAGCAGUGAAAUCACAGCUUCUCGGUAGUCCUAGAUACCAAAACGCCCAGAACUACUUCGACCUGAUUCCUUUAUAGCCAAGGAUAUGUAGGCAACCUCUGAAGCAAGGUUUCGGUCAAACUUUUUCAAAAUGCUUCCAAAUGGAGUGUCAAACGGGCAAAAAUUGCUCACUUUAUCUUUGCCCGAAAAUUCUUCAUGUUUCCGAGCAAAGAGGGCAGCUGUGAGCACGUAAUUUUUUCCCUAUGAAAUACUCCUACAAAAAUUCACAAAAAAUGGAUUUUUCUAAUUGUUUUUGAUUUUAUAGUUUUUAGGAAUUCUUUUUUAAUUGUUUAUUUGCAUUGUAGUUGCAUUUCUUGUGCAUGUUAAAUAUCUUAAAAUCAUAGAAAAUACCAUAAAAAUGUCCAAUUCUUAAUUGCAUCGCAUUUUAGAUUUUAAUUGUAUUUUUUAGGAUUUAAUAACAUAUUAAUUACAUAAUUGAUAAAUGAAAAUAAAAAAAAUACCCUAGUCAUUUUACAUUUUUAGUUUCUGGUUUUCAAAUUAAUAAUUUUUUUAUUAGUUAUUGUUAAGGUAAUUAAUUAGUUAAUUAGAAGAUAAAGUAGUAAAAGGGUUAAUUUUGCAAUUUGAGUUCUAAGUGCUAUUUGAGUUUAAAGUGGCUAACAUUGCAAAAAUUAAAGAAGGGAAAGGAAGAGGUUAGUCUUUGUUGAAAACUGGGCUAAGAGCACAUUUGAAUAAGUGGCCCAAAUUUCCAAAUCCGUCUAAGUCCAAUCUUCCUAAAACCCGGUCCAGCUCCCAUUUAAACCCCAAACGACCCUGUUUCAGAUCCUUAAUCUUAGCCGUCCCUUGACUUUAAUACGAUGGUUCGGAACUGACCACCCACAUCCCAUAUAACUAUCUCAACCCCACCAAAAACCUAGAGACCAAACCUCAUUUCCUCAUCACCCUCAUCUCUCCCAUUCCCUACUCAAAACCCUAGCCAACCCUACACCCUCCACCGGCGACCAAGCUCCAAUCCACCCCAAAUCUUUACCCCAUGACCCUCAAAGCCUCCUCUUCCUUAACUCAUUUUUAUAUUCCCCUAAAGAGCCCUAGAACUCAUCCCAUAGCAGAUCUCAGAAUAGGUUAACCCCAAAUCUUUUCUUUCGAUUUCUGUCAUUCGGAGGAUGAACACAGCGAAUUCUAUUUUUCUCUCUGACUUUAGUAGUCAUUAGCACGUAUUCACUGGCCGAAUUCUAAAAGCACAAGGUCGGUGAUGACCACUGUUGGUCAGAGAAACCCUUGACCAAGCGAUUGUUGCAUUUUCAG